This 284-nucleotide ribosomal RNA is filed under the name [Ruminococcus] torques ATCC 27756. RNAcentral's name for it is "partial 16S ribosomal RNA". It matches the Rfam family "Bacterial small subunit ribosomal RNA", at positions 493 to 776 of the family's 1533-position model. The record is from RNAcentral. Lineage: Bacteria; Bacillati; Bacillota; Clostridia; Lachnospirales; Lachnospiraceae.
UCUUUUCCUUUUUUUCCAGCAGCCGCGGUAAUACGUAUGGUGCAAGCGUUAUCCGGAUUUACUGGGUGUAAAGGGAGCGUAGACGGAUGGGCAAGUCUGAUGUGAAAACCCGGGGCUCAACCCCGGGACUGCAUUGGAAACUGUUCAUCUAGAGUGCUGGAGAGGUAAGUGGAAUUCCUAGUGUAGCGGUGAAAUGCGUAGAUAUUAGGAGGAACACCAGUGGCGAAGGCGGCUUACUGGACAGUAACUGACGUUGAGGCUCGAAAGCGUGGGGAGCAAACAGG